UACGUAGGGGGCCAGCGUUGUCCGGAUUUAUUGGGCGUAAAGAGCGUGUAGGCGGCCAGGUAGGUCUGGUGUGAAAACUCGAGGCUCAACCUCGAGAUGUCAUCGGAAACCAUCUGGCUAGAGUCCGGAAGAGGAGAGUGGAAUUCCUGGUGUAGCGGUGAAAUGCGCAGAUAUCAGGAAGAACACCUAUGGCGAAGGCAGCUCUCUGGGACGGUACUGACACUGAGGGACGAAAGCUAGGGGAGCGAAUGGG
Molecule: ribosomal RNA, 253 nt
Filed under: uncultured bacterium
Lineage: Bacteria
Description: partial 16S ribosomal RNA
Rfam family: Bacterial small subunit ribosomal RNA
Source: RNAcentral